This 511-nucleotide ribosomal RNA is filed under the name uncultured archaeon. RNAcentral's name for it is "bacterial SSU rRNA". It matches the Rfam family "Archaeal small subunit ribosomal RNA", at positions 346 to 859 of the family's 1478-position model. The record is from RNAcentral.
ACCUCUGCAAUAGGCGAAAGCCUGACAGGGUUACUCUGAGUGGUUUCCGCUAAGGGAACCUUUUGGCACCUCUACAAAUGGUGCAGAAUAAGGGGUGGGCAAGUCUGGUGUCAGCCGCCGCGGUAAUACCAGCACCCCGAGUGGUCGGGACGAUUAUUGGGCCUAAAGCAUCCGUAGCCGGUCCUGCAAGUCUUCCGUUAAAUCCAGCUGCUCAACAGAUGGGCUGCGGGGGAUACUACAUGGCUAGGAGGCGGGAGAGGCAAGCGGUACUUUAUGGGUAGGGGUAAAAUCCGUUGAUCCAUAGAAGACCACCAGUGGCGAAGGCGGCUUGCCAGAACGCGCUCGACGGUGAGGGAUGAAAGCUGGGGGAGCAAACCGGAUUAGAUACCCGGGUAGUCCCAGCUGUAAACGAUGCAGACUCGGUGAUGGGCUGGCUUCGUGCCAACCCAGUGCCGCAGGGAAGCCGUUAAGUCUGCCGCCUGGGGAGUACGGUCGCAAGACUGAAACUUAA